This is a long non-coding RNA of Papilio machaon (common yellow swallowtail), 294 nucleotides long. RefSeq lists it as uncharacterized. The transcript is spliced from 3 exons. NCBI's taxonomy places the organism in Eukaryota, Metazoa, Arthropoda, Insecta, Lepidoptera, Papilionidae. The record is from RefSeq and is a predicted model, not a curated record.
GUUGUACGUGGUGAGAACGUUAGUACUACAGCACCGGCGCCACAUCCCUUAUCCUCAAUUGAUGUUAGACCUUCAGGUGCUAUUGCAAGUUUUCUUAAAAUGCUCGUUGACAUACCGUUGGCCCUAGUGGAAGCAUUUAGAGAUGGAGCUGAAGGCAUUGAAAAAAUUGUACUCGGCUCGCUUAGAACAUUUUUUUAAUCAGCACAAACAAAACCAGUAAAGGACAAGAAUAAUGGUUAAUAGACUUGAUUUUCACUGUUAACUUGUAAAAGUCUUGUAAAUCCAAAAUUAUUG